Molecule: RNA transcript, 2871 nt
Organism: Sesamum indicum (sesame)
Lineage: Eukaryota; Viridiplantae; Streptophyta; Magnoliopsida; Lamiales; Pedaliaceae
Gene: NTT1
Gene name: nucleotide transporter 1
Source: RefSeq, a predicted model, not a curated record
UAAAUUUAGGUAUUCAUUCUUGUCCCUUUAUUUUUUGUUUUUUUUAUUGCAAGAAACUGCAAGUGGAAGAAUUGUUCAUACGCUGCUUAGGCUAAGAAAUCACAGUUUACUGCAAAUCCCUGACAUCAAGGUUUUUGAUUCUUCUUAAUCCAAGAAUUUCAGGGAAAAACUUGUAUUUUUUUAUAUACUUUCAAAUAUUUUGUCUUGAUUCAAGAACAAGGGUUUGGUUUCUGUGUGAGGUAGUAUAUAGAUAUUUGUGUAUCUUCCUCAGAACCUCUCUGAGCAAAAAAAACUAUCUUCGGCUCCAUCACCUCACCUUAUCUUCAUCACCCAUCUCUCUUUCUCUUGUGUUCACUUGAUAAAAAUCAAAUCUUUAUAUAGGGAAGUGUGUGGGGGAAUAAGGAAAAGUAGGGAGAAAGAGAGGGGUUGGAGAAAUGCAAGGUGUUUUACAGUCAAAAGGGCUUCUGUCCUUACCUUCAAACCCCAGAACCAGAGCUUUUCUUGCACAACCCUCAUGUGAUUUGAGGUAUAGAUUCAACCCUAUAAAUCCUCCGUUAAAAUCAAGAACACUCAAUGGGUCCUCUUUAACUCUUAAUGGGUUCUCAAAAUUCCACGGAUUUGUGACAAAACCUCAAUUAGUAGGCCAAAAGAAUGGAAACUAUCCCAUAUGUAGAGCUGAGGCUGCUGCUGCAUCAGGUGAUGGGCAGCCUUUGUAUGGAGAGAAAGAAUCACCCAAGUUUAUGGGCAUGGAGCUGGUGACUCUCAAGAAAAUCAUACCACUUGGAAUGAUGUUUUUCUGUAUUCUGUUUAACUACACAAUUCUCAGGGACACUAAGGAUGUUUUGGUGGUUACAGCCAAAGGGUCUAGUGCUGAAAUCAUACCUUUCUUAAAAACUUGGGUGAAUUUGCCGAUGGCUGUUGGGUUUAUGCUCUUGUACACACAACUGGCUAAUGUGUUGUCAAAAGAGGCUCUUUUCUACUCUGUUAUUCUUCCAUUUAUAGCCUUUUUUGGAGCAUUUGGGUUUGUUUUAUAUCCUCUCAGCCACUAUUUCCACCCCACAGCUCUUGCUGAUAAGCUUCUGAACAUUUUGGGUCCAAGAUUUCUUGGACCUCUUGCAAUCAUGAGAAUCUGGAGUUUCUGCUUGUUCUAUGUCAUGGCUGAACUCUGGGGAAGCGUGGUUAUCUCGGUUCUGUUUUGGGGGUUUGCUAAUCAGAUCACUACUGUCGAGGAAGCCAAGAAAUUCUAUCCCCUUUUUGGUCUUGGAGCAAACGUUGCCCUUGUUUUCUCUGGUCGAACUGUGAAAUACUUCUCUCAAUUGAGAGAAAACCUUGGUCCUGGAGUCGAUGGUUGGGCCAUAUCCCUGAAGGGAAUGAUGAGUAUCGUGGUGGGGAUGGGGCUUGCAAUUUGUUUCCUUUACUGGUGGGUGAAUCAUAAUGUUCCUCUUCCCACCCGUAGUCAGAAGAAGAAGGAGAAGCCAAAAAUGGGGACAAUGGAGAGCUUAAAAUUCUUGGUAUCAUCAAGAUAUAUUAGAGAUCUUGCCACUUUGGUUGUGGCAUAUGGUAUUAGUAUCAACCUCGUUGAGGUUACAUGGAAAUCGAAGCUCAAAGCUCAGUUUCCAACGCCAAACGAGUAUUCAUCCUUUAUGGGCGACUUCUCGACUGCUACUGGAAUAGCAACUUUCACAAUGAUGCUUUUGAGCCAAUGGAUCUUUAACAAAUAUGGUUGGGGAGUUGCAGCAAAGAUCACACCUACAGUCCUGCUUCUGACCGGAGUUGGCUUCUUCUCCCUGAUUUUGUUCGGCGACCCUCUUGCUCCAGCUCUUGCCAAGUUUGGACUGACUCCACUCUUAGCAGCUGUUUAUGUCGGAGCAAUGCAGAACAUUUUUAGUAAAAGUGCAAAGUAUAGCUUGUUCGAUCCAUGCAAGGAAAUGGCUUACAUUCCUUUGGACGAGGACACUAAGGUUAAAGGGAAAGCAGCAAUUGACGUUGUCUGUAAUCCAUUGGGCAAAUCAGGAGGUGCUCUUAUUCAGCAGUUCAUGAUUUUAACCUUUGGGUCCCUCGCAAAUUCGACUCCCUAUCUCGGAGGUAUUCUUCUCGUAAUUGUUCUUGCAUGGCUAGGAGCUGCCAAGUCUUUAGACGGUCAGUUCACUGCAUUGAGGCGAGAAGAAGAACUUGAAAAGGAGAUGGAAAGAGCAGCCGUGAAAAUUCCCAUUGUGUCAUCGAAUGAAAGUGGCAAUGGCUCUCUUGGUAGUGGCUCGACGCUAAAUCCAACGGGAGGCGACUCAUCAAAUGCUUCAUCCGAAUCCUCAUCUCCUAGGAACAUCUGAUCAUACUAUCCGCUAGAGGAAUAAGAAUAUAUAUUACAAAGAUUCAUAAGUGCAGGGUUUUUGCUUCAUGGAAAAUUCGCGAAUGCUGCUUCAGACAGUGGCCCAUGGUUGCUGCACAUGACCGAGCCAAGAAAACCUCGCUGGGGUGAAAAGAUCAGGGCUCGACAAUCAGGUGAUAUGGAGUACCAAAAUUUUCUCUUUAUGGUAUUUGUGUUGGACAGAGUGUACAUGAGAAGCAGUGAAGAUCACUUCAAGUUUGCUGUAAUUAUGCAAGAUUUUGCAAUCACUGUUGUGCAUUUGAGUACCGUUAUGUCUUCUAGUUCUGCAUGGUAAGAAUUGCUGUUGUGGUUGGGCUACAGUUGAGAAUUGUUGCUUGGAGUGUUGUUUAAUGUUGUUAUCAGUUACGGGCUAACUUACAACUUUUAAGACAACGAUAGAUAGAAGCUCACUGCUACAGCAAAUUCUUACUUGCAUGUAAAAGAGGAUAUAACAGCAAGACAUUUGAUCCUUAAGGUACCAAUUUAAGGUUAAAUUGUCCGAUUAA